AUUGAACGCUGGCGGCAGGCCUAACACAUGCAAGUCGAACGGUAACAGGAAGCAGCUUGCUGCUUCGCUGACGAGUGGCGGACGGGUGAGUAAUGUCUGGGAAACUGCCUGAUGGAGGGGGAUAACUACUGGAAACGGUAGCUAAUACCGCAUAACGUCGCAAGACCAAAGGGGGGGACCUUAGGGCCUCUUGCCAUCGGAUGUGCCCAGAUGGGAUUAGCUAGUAGGUGGGGUAACGGCUCACCUAGGCGACGAUCCCUAGCUGGUCUGAGAGGAUGACCAGCCACACUGGAACUGAGACACGGUCCAGACUCCUACGGGAGGCAGCAGUGGGGAAUAUUGCACAAUGGGCGCAAGCCUGAUGCAGCCAUGCCGCGUGUAUGAAGAAGGCCUUCGGGUUGUAAAGUACUUUCAGCGGGGAGGAAGGGAGUAAAGUUAAUACCUUUGCUCAUUGACGUUACCCGCAGAAGAAGCGCCGGCUAACUCCGUG
RNAcentral lists this ribosomal RNA (490 nucleotides) under uncultured bacterium. RNAcentral's name for it is "partial 16S ribosomal RNA". It matches the Rfam family "Bacterial small subunit ribosomal RNA", at positions 30 to 507 of the family's 1533-position model. The record is from RNAcentral.